This 488-nucleotide ribosomal RNA is filed under the name Penidiella sp. Its description in RNAcentral is "SSU rRNA". It matches the Rfam family "Eukaryotic small subunit ribosomal RNA", at positions 86 to 582 of the family's 1831-position model. The record is from RNAcentral. Lineage: Eukaryota; Fungi; Ascomycota; Dothideomycetes; Mycosphaerellales; Teratosphaeriaceae.
ACUGCGAAUGGCUCAUUAAAUCAGUUAUCGUUUAUUUGAUAGUACCUUACUACAUGGAUAACCGUGGUAAUUCUAGAGCUAAUACAUGCUAAAAACCCCAUCUCGGGGUGUAUUUAUUAGAUAAAAAACCAAUGCCCUCCGGGGCUCCUUGGCGAAUCAUAAUAACUUAACGAAUCGCAUGGCCUUGCGCCGGCGAUGGUUCAUUCAAAUUUCUGCCCUAUCAACUUUCGAUGGUAGGAUAGUGGCCUACCAUGGUAGCAACGGGUACCGGGGAAUUAGGGUUCGAUUCCGGAGAGGGAGCCUGAGAAACGGCUACCACAUCCAAGGAAGGCAGCAGGCGCGCAAAUUACCCAAUCCCGAUACGGGGAGGUAGUGACAAUAAAUACUGAUACAGGGCUCUUUUGGGUCUUGUAAUUGGAAUGAGUACAAUUUAAAUCCCUUAACGAGGAACAAUUGGAGGGCAAGUCUGGUGCCAGCAGCCGCGGUAA